AUGUACCAGCUUGGUCGAGAUGUGUCACAGAUCAGCAGCAUCUGCAGGCCCAGUGUGCUGAGGCUGAGGCAGGGGACCCAGUGCUCAGCAGGCCUGGAGCAGGUGUGUCUGCAGCGGGAUGAAAGCACAACAAGACCCCGAGCAUUAAGGAGGCCCCUGGGACUCUACAGAAACAGGCUCCACAUUCUUCUUUUAAGAUGGCUCAAGAAAAAAUAAAUAGACAAAUAAUAAUAAAACUCACUAUUAUAUUAUUAUUAUUAUUAUUAUUUAAAUGUAAGUAAAACAGAUGAGAAUAUAUAUAUAUAUAUAUAUAUAUAUAUAUAUAUAUAUAAAAUUGUAUUUUAAUAUUUGCGUUUAUCAGAUAAACAACUUUUUAAAAUAACCUAAACAGGAGUUUUAUUUGUUUUAACAAAAACAGAAUAUUAAAUUUUUUAUUAAAAAAAAUGUAUAUAAUAUGAAAAUAUUGGGGGUGUAAAGGUACACAAAGGUGGUGGAUCGGUAUGUACCUCGAUUUUGAUGUUUGGUACAAAGGGGAAAAACUAAACACACACACACACACACACACAUAUAUAUAUAAAAUUAAACUUUUUAAUUAAAAAAGUGAUUUACUGAACAAAUGACUCUAUCUUUAAAUAAAUAUUUUCUCUUCCUUUAAUAAUAUUUUCCAAGAGAUAAAAAUCUACCUCAGCUCAUGCUAUAAACAAGGGAGCCCUUUUACAUCACUAUAUGGUUACAAUUAACAACAGAGCCCAAACUUAAAAUUAUAUUAUUAUAUAUUUCUAAAUAUAACAAUCAACACUCAACACACAUAAUGAAUUAUUUAAAUGAACUUCUAAAUGAUAAAAUUUCUAUUUGUUGUUGAAAUAUAUUUAUUUAUACAGUGGCUGUCAUAACUUGUUUCAGAACAGAUUCAUUUAAACAUACAUUAAAUAACGCUUGAGCUCCACAUUGCCAUUUGAACUGAGGCAUUUAUACAGGGAUCUGUUGCGCCACAUCAAAAAAGCGCUAAAACAGCAUUUAUUGUUUGAAUUUCCUGAAGAAAUUGACAGAAUUUCAAAGAUGAGACUUUGUUUCUUAUCAAAAGUAACAAUUUAUAAAACUGGAAGUUUCCAAUGAAGUUCCACUCGUGCAGUGGUUAAAACAAUGCUGUAUUUGUUUGGUAUACAUUGCAUACCAAACCGAAAGGUUACUGUUACACCCCUAGAUAAUAUGUAUGUUUAAUAUUUGUGUUUUAUUUAUAAUUGGAAUUUUACAACAGCUUAAAAAAUAACCCCAUUUCCUCCACCAAAGUGAGGCGGACCACAAGGCCUUGCUUUGAAGAAAACUAUGAGGAAAGGAGGUUUGAGAGCUGAAGUGAUUUUCAGGGUCUCCCUUAAAAGAAAUCUCUACUUUAUCCCUCACCCCCCAAAAUAUUGCUCCCUCAUCUCAGAUUUAGAGGGCUGCUGGGAGACCUAAAGUGUUUGGGUCAUAACACAUCUAUUUCAAGGAAUCUCCAGAGACUCAUUCUCCAAUCAGACGUACAGUAGCUUUAGAUUCUGAAGCACCCCCACCUGCUGACACCCCAUUGUUUUGCAACAGGCUAUUAAUGUGAAUAAAUGAUAUGUUAAAUAUUAAAGAGAAUUUAACUACAUAUUUGCCUUUUCUUCUAUCUAUUUGACAUCUUAGAAUAUACUUCUGACAUGUUAAUAUUUAAAUAUGUUCUAGUUUAAGGAACUACUUAAAGCAGCAUAAUUUCAUGCUGAAUUCCACCCAGUGUCAGUCAAAGGGGAUGUUGAAUGGUAAUAUCAAAUCUUUGGAGCACUUUGUUCAUUUUGAAAGCAUGAUCAAUGUCUCAAUAGCAUGAGACUAAGUCUAAAUGUCUAAAUGGCCUAAAUAUCGCUCUUUCUGGGAACAAAUGUAAUAAAAUCAGACCUUAAUUUUAUUAGGCAUCUUAAAUUUUAGAGUAGAUGUUUGUGGAAAAUGCUGAUUGCUGGCAUCUGUCCAUCUGUCUCUGUGCAUAUAAAUGAAUGACUGCUGGAAAGUGGACGACGGGGCUAGAAAGAUGGAAAAAUGUCAGUAGGUCUACUCAAGUUUACAAAAGAGAAAUAAACACAAGUUUAUUUCUCUUACCCUCACGUGUGUCAGGUUUCUGUAUUUGGCAUAAUGCUGCCAGACUAAAAGUGCAGAAUUGGCAAAUGUCUCGGAAAUUGGGUGCUGAAUAGUAUUACCAAAAUCAGUUCAACAUCUUGUUAGACAAGAAAACUUGUUGCACCUGGAGAGCAUCGUCAGGGUCUUAGCCCAUAUUCUUGUAGAAAAUGUUAUCAAAUGAAUCAAACAAUGGACCAUUUUUACAUUUGUUCUCUUCAAUGAUUGUAAAUACAAACUAAAAAUGGACCACAACUCAAUUCAGCAAGAGAAAAUGUGACAGCCACAGUGAAGGAUGAACAAACUGUCAAAUCAUGACAAUGUAAACACCAACAGCAGAGUGAAUAAUGCAUUUAUCACUUGAACACUACAAUGCUGGUUAACUUAAUCAUCUACUCUUAAAAGCUACCAUCCCUUAAGGAAGUUCACAAAAGAGCAGUCCACAUUCUGUCUGUAAACUGAUCCCAUAAGUUUGCUUGCUUACAGUGAGCUGUGUUUCGGGAAUUGCACACACUUGGGAAGAACUACUGUAUUCAUCUUGUAGGGCCAUAUGAGAACUAAGGAAUUUCAGGCUUAGGAUUUUUGGCUGCUUUUUAUUUAGGUUCAAGUUUAUUAUAAGACCAAAGAGUGAUUAUUGGUGCAGUACAAACACAAACAAAACAAAUAACAACACAACAACUAACAAAUUUAAAAGCCUUCCAGCAGUCGGAAUAAAAGUAUGUCUGUACCGAUUGCUUUUAUGUUUAGGCAUACUAUACUGUAUACCAGAAGGAAGCAUUUUAAACUCAUGGAACAGUGGAUUAGUACCCAAUUUGGUGUUCCCUUUUAAAAUUUGCUUGUAAAUCCAUCACUUCCAACCCUAACCCUAUGCUAUAUUAUCAUCGAAUCUUGGAUUCAAUCUUUUUGUCAACUUGUUUCCUUUUAAUUAGAACUUUUGUAUUUUUUUGGAACUGACUGAUCUCAUUGAUCUGAGGUUGUGCACUUCAUUUAUAAAUGAAAAAAAUAAUUACUUCUGCUUAUAAUUUGGUAAUAUUCACUCAAUAACAGAUUUAAAUUUUUUUAUCAAAUAUUUGGUAGUAACACAGCAUAAUGAAUAAUUUAUAAGCAAUUUUUGUAGGCCAGUUAUUUUUGACCGGGAACACCAGUGUGACAAGGUGUAAAAAAAAAAUAAUAAUAAAAAAAUAAAAAAUCCAAAAAGAGCACAAAAUUUACCAAUUUUAAGUUA
Cyprinus carpio carpio is the source of this 3349-nucleotide long non-coding RNA. Lineage: Eukaryota; Metazoa; Chordata; Actinopteri; Cypriniformes; Cyprinidae. The record is from Ensembl.